UACGAAGGGGGCAAGCGUUGUUCGGAAUUACUGGGCGUAAAGCGCGCGCAGGCGGCUAUCCAAGUCAGUGGUGAAAGCCCGGAGCUCAACUCCGGAACUGCCAUUGAAACUGUUUAGCUUGAGGACGAGAGAGGUGAGUGGAAUUCCCAGUGUAGAGGUGAAAUUCGUAGAUAUUGGGAAGAACACCGGUGGCGAAGGCGGCUCACUGGCUCGUUUCUGACGCUCAGGCGCGACAGCGUGGGGAUCAAACAGG
This 253-nucleotide ribosomal RNA is filed under the name uncultured bacterium. RNAcentral's name for it is "partial 16S ribosomal RNA". It matches the Rfam family "Bacterial small subunit ribosomal RNA", at positions 524 to 776 of the family's 1533-position model. The record is from RNAcentral.